ACACAUAUAAAUUUUUAAAUCGAUAUGAUGUUUAUAUCAUAUAGAUCGAAUAUUGUACUUAUUAAAUAUAUAUUUAACCAUUUAAUGUUUCUUACACAAUAAAUAUAAUUAGACAUUUUGAAAUUACUCUAUAUUUAACAUGCAUGAUUUAGUUGAAUAAAAUAUAAAAUAUAUUGAUGAAAUCAUUAAAAUAUUAAUUAUACAAAAUUAUAAAUAGAUAUAUUGUUUUAUACUUAUGUAAUGCUGAAAAUAUAUUGUAAUAGGCCCAAUUUACCCGGCCCGUUAGAUAAAUAAACGCCAAAUUAAAACAAAAAAAAACAACAAAACAAAUAAACAAAUAAACGUCCAAUAUUAAAAUAAAAAACCAAUUAGCCCAAUCAGCCUAAGCCCAAAACCCUUAGCCCAAGCCUAACCUAAACCCAAAUACAUUCCCUAUCCCAAUCGUGUUACAAGCCCAACACAAAAAUGAAUCAGAAACCCUAGCAGCAUGGCUCCCAGCGCCGCAGCAGUAGCGCCUCUCUGCUCUCCUUCGCACACGCAGAUGCCUUCGCACGCCUCAGUCGCCGCUCCAGCAAGCCAUCAAGCCGCAAUCAACCUCUGGCCUCGCAUGCGCGCCACUGUCACUCGCGCGAGCCUCAGUACGCACACGUGCUUCUUCUCCUCCAGGCCGUACUUGCAAACAAACAAACAAAAAUAGCACAGCAAAAAGAAAAAGGACGAUUGUAUUUUAUUUUAUUUUCGUUUCGGCUAUAAAAGAGCCAACAAAAUCUGUAAAAAGUUUCCUUUUUUACGAUAUCAACACACAGACACACAGGCAUAUUGUGUACAAAAAAAGAUUCAGAGAGAAAUAAAAAAAUCAAAAAUUCGAAAGGUGAUGGCAGUUUUUUUUCCUUGGUUUUUCUUUGUCUUUUGGCCGUUUCUUUUCAUUUCUGUUUUAUAUCUAUAAGCGAAACAACAAAAAAGGGAAGAAAAGGAAGGAGUCGUACCUUGUCGUAGGAAGCCGUUGGAUCUCUGACCCUCUCCGUUGCAAUCGGAGCCUGGGUGGAGGUCGUAGACGCAAGAGCGGCGCAGUACCUGGGGUAAGCACCUAGGUUUCUUUGAAAGGGGAAAUGAAAUCUGGUGUUUAGGUUUUGUUUUUUUAGUUUAUAAACAACUUAAAACGGCGCCGUUUAAGCCACUUAGUUUCAGCAACCCGCGCGGUGACCCGACCUGGGGAGGAUUCGCGCGUUCUGACAUUUUGGUUUAUUUGCGCUUAGAGUCCCUUCAUGUUUUGCUCAGUUUCAAUCAGAUUUCUUCCCAUUUUUCUUAAUUUGUACCGCAUAUUUAAUUUUAUUUUCAUUUCGAUCCAAAGACAAACGACGCCGUUUGGAGGCUAGACCCGCGCAGUGACCCGACCCGGGGUAGGAUCCGCGCGUUUUAGUUCAAGGGUCUAUUUGCACGACGAUUCCCUAUGUGUUUGGCGUAAUUGCAAUUUGAUUUUCUUUAAUUUUUUCAAUUUGUACAGCAUAUUUGAUUUAGGUUUCAUUUCGAUCCUUGUUUAAAACGGCAUCGUUCUCACUAUUUAGAUUUGAGCAUUCAAACUUUGCGUUUAAUUAUUAUUUUAGUCCCGUUGAGUUUAAUCAAUCACCAAUUUAGUUCGAAUCUGCGUAUUUUAUACUUUUAAUUUGGUAUUUAAUUAGUUUGUUUAGCACAUUUUUUUAAUAUGAUAAAUCUUGUUUUGAUAUAUUAUUUUUGAAAAGAUUAACAUUAGCUCAAUAUUUAACUUUAGAUAGUGUUUUUAAAUUUACUAUUAUUAUAGUUUAAAACAUAAUAAGUUAUUAUUUUAAUUUGUUAUUAACAUUUUUGAAUUCAUCAUACACUAAUAUUUUGAAUCUAUUGUAUAUAUUUAUUUAAUUUUGGUUUUACCCUUUUUAUUAUUUCUAAUUUUAUUUAAAUUCCAAUUUUAAACUCAUUGAUACUAUUGUAUUUAUUUCAAAAUACUAUUAUACAAUGUUGUUAUUAUUUUAUUUCAAGUCUAUUUCGAGAUCAUGUAUAAAUCUUUUUUAGAACGUUUGACAUAGGAUUCAUUAGGCGUAAUUCCUCUUUUAUUAUUUUGGGUAUAUUUUAGAAAUUGUACAUUAAUUUCUUUGAUGUUGGGUUGUCAAUAUUGGCAUUUGUAUAAUAUUAUUAAAACAAUUGUUGCUAUUCUUAUUUGUAUUUACCUAUUGCUUGUUUGUUACUUCUUAGUAUGUGUUUGAAUUAUAAUUUAUUUUUUAAUUACACAUUAAUUAUGCUACAUUUGUUUUUCUUAAAAUGUGUUCUAUUAAAGCACUACAAUCCUUUCAUUUCUUAAUUUUUAAAAAAAAGCUUGGUGUUCAUAGUUAUCGAGAGGAUUGUGCCCUUCAAUUCUUCUCGAUAAAUCUAGAUAGCCAAGUGGUUAUUUUAUUAAAACCAUACAAUUUUAAAAUAAAGCUUUUAAGAUUUCAAAAUGUUUGGAUCCUAACUUACUGGAUAUGAUAUUUUGUUAUCUCGAUUUUGAAAGUAAAGGCAAUACCCGAUAUUUGGAAUCCUCGAGAGAAUUGAGCCCUAGCGUAUUGGGUUUUUAAUUUUUCUCGUUGAAUCUAAAUAAUCAAAUUUUCUUUAAUAAAAACGCAUAAAUAAAAGCACAUUCUCAGGAAUUCGAUACGUCGUGUCCUAAUGCAUUGGAUAUGACAUGUUAUUUUCUCGAAAUGAGGAUUCUUCUAAAAAUAAAGGCAAUAUUCGAUAUUUAGGAAUUUUGUGAAAUCGAGCCCUAACUUAUUGGGUCUUGAUUUUCUCAUUUAACCCAAAUAAUCGGAUAUCCUUCUCAAAAUGCAUAGGUUUUAAAAGUCAAGAGAUAAACUUAAUUUUGAGGAUUUAAAAUGUUACACUCUAACUUAUUGAGUGUGACGAUUUAUUUCUUCGAAAUAAGUGAGUCACAUCAAUCAAUUUCAUUCUAUUCAAAUUCUCUUUUCAAAGGAUCGUAUUUUAAAAAAUCUUUUCAAAUUCUCGACAUUAAGACAUUAAACAAUCAAUUCGGUACCAAUUUUAGGCGUCACGAGGGUGCUAACCCUUUCUCGUGUGUAACCGACUCCCGAACCUGUUUUUUCAAAAUUCGCAGACUUAAAAUUAUUUUCAAGGUGAUCCGAUCGCACCAUAAUAAAAGAUCAAUGGCGACUCCCAUUUUCAUUUUCAAAGUCGACUCCGAUUUUUCAAAAAUUUAAAAAAUGGUUUCGACAUAUACUAGUGCAAAACAAGUUUGUUAGCAUUGACAAGAAAAAUAAACCAAGAAUUAAGAAAUAAAAUUUACUGGGCCGUGGAGGAACCACUGCCUUAGAAACGAAUUCGCUCUGAUUGAUGUAAUCGUAUAGUGAAUGUUGUCUCCUAAGCUUAACACAGUGCUACGAUAUUCGUACACCCAAAUAAAGAAGGUGGAACACAAUUGAUAUUGCUCUUCUCAGGAAAAUCACAUUAAGAUCAAUUUCCAGAAAAGUUUAAAAAGGUCACAGUCGGUUCCGUUUCAAACGCCAAAUUUCUAGAUAGAAUUUACUCUAAUGUAAUUUAGGGAAAAAUGGCAAAAAUUUAAAAAAAAGAUGGAAAAGAGGCGAGGAGGAGGAAAGAGUUUUCUGAAUGUUGCAUUUUGCUUUUUAUAUGAAAAUGUGGAAAAUAACUCUCUAUUUAUACUAGUAACAAAAGGGUAAAAUAGUAAAUAUUCAAAGGCAAAAGAGUAAAAAUCAUUUCCGUGCAGCAGCAAAAAAUAUAUUUUAUUUCAAAUUUUCGUAACAGUCAAAGAAAAAGUAAAAUUAUUUUUAAAGAAAUUAUUUUCUUGAAAAUAAUAUAAGAGUCUUAUCUGAAAAAAUACAAAAAUACGAACCUAGCAACAGCAACACGCGUGUGUUAGACUUAUAACCAAAUACCCUAUGUAACUAAGAAGUAUAGCUAUAUAUAAACUCUGUUAAUAGUCAAUACUUAACCAGUAUGGGAUAUACUUAGUUACCAACCAUCCUUUCUCUUUAUAUAAUAUAUAUUUCCAUAUCAAGAUGCCUCCAACUUUUGUCAUCGUCAUUGAGAUUAAUAACCUUUACGAGGGUUAAAGGUAUAACUAAAUAUUAGGUUCUACUGAUAUAUUUGAUUUUAAUUGAUAUUUAUUAUUUUUAUACAAUUGAUAUUUAUUAUUAUAGUUUAAAUUACGGCUAAAUUUAACAUUCUGAAAUUUUUAUUGUAUUUUGCCCUUUAAAAUUAAGUUGGGAUGAUUUAAAGAUAAAAUUUAACCAAAGAAUUCCUCCAAAUACUUCAUUUUAAUAGCAACAAUAACAUAAAAUAAUAAUAAUAAUAAUAAUAGAAAGGCCUAAAAUGGGAAAAUUAUUGUUUUUGUAAAUUAAACACUCUUCGUUAUUUUUUAAAAUAUUUGUUAAACAAAUUAAGUAUCAUUCCUCCAUAUUUAAAGAGCACUCUUGUUUGUUAAAUUCAAUAAAAGAUGAAAAUAUUAGUGAGUAUAGUAACAAACUCAUCCUUAAUUAAAAAAAUCAAUGAAAAUAAAAGACGGAAAUGACAAAAAUCUUGAACCUGUUAAAAUAAAUGUAGAAAUGAUAGAAAAAUAGGGAUUGAGGACUUGGAUUCAAGAUUAUUAAAUCUCGCAUAAAGAAAGGGUGCUUUCAUGAUGAAGGGGUAUGGCUUGGGGAAAUUUCCCAGGGACCCACUCUACCUAGGUUUAUGUUGUAAUUAGUAGGUUUACCUAACAUAAGUAUUUCUUUCUAAUUUUUAAUAUUAUUAAAAAAAAUACCAAUAAACCAUGUCCUUGUAUUCAUAUUGAUAGACAAAAUGUUCCAUUGAUUGAAUGCGAAACCCUACAUAUGAAAUCACUGUUCAUAAUCAUAUUUGUUACUUUUGUACAUUUUUGUUCAAAUAAAUUUAGAAUAUGGAAUGGACUCCAUUACUUGUACUUGAAAAAGCAAAUACUGAUUAAUAAAAUCGGGAAUGUGAGCUGCCACGUUAAAUUAAAUUAGACAAAAAUUGAACUUUAAAACAUGGAAAAAGAAGACAAGGAAGCCGUGUUCAUAUACUAAUAGAAUUCCAACUCCAAUCUUUGUCAAGAAAUGGACAUUUGAUGACGUGUACAGAUUUAUUAUACUCACCAAUUAUUGUCUUGUCAAGAAAAAGCAAUGCAUGAUUACCAAGCUUACACCUCUUCUUCGCCUUUUAACCCAACUUUUGACUAUUGAUUUCGCAACCCACGUUUGCGUAAUCCUAACCCUUCAUUGUGCCAUCCACUACUAAUCCAUCACAUCACAUCUUCUCACUCUAAUUUUUUUUUUAAAUUUAAUCUUUAUUUUUAUUAAAUCCUCUUAAAAUUGAUAAAAAAUUAUUAUUUUUUAUUUUUGUUAAUGUGGUAUAUACGUGAAUUAUCACUCAAUAUUUAAUUAAUUUUUAAAUUUUAAAAAAUUAUAGAAUUUAUUUUUAAAAAUUAAAAAUAUUAUAUAUAAUAAUUUUUAAAUUUUAAAAACUAAUUAAAUACUAACAUGUCAUUCGCACAACAAUUCAUAUGUAUAUCAUAUCAACAAAGUUAACAAACAAUAACUUUUAUAUAUUUUUUUAGAUAAUUUAAUAAAAAUACAAAUUCAAAUAUUAAAAAAGAUAAAAAAAAUUAAAUUAAAUUAAAUGAAAGCCUAAAAUAAUUUUUUUUAUAAAGUUAAAAUACCAAAAAGUUCAUUACCUCAAUUUUCACAACAAUUGUGUGUUACUUUUAAGAUUAAUAGUCCCUUUUAAUUCUCUCUUUUAAUAAUAUUAUUUUUAAAGUUUGAAUCUGUAUUUUUUUUUCUCCAAGUGUUAUGUGUUUCUUUAUCACAAUUAAUACUUGAGUUUUAUUUAAAUAAGAAGUAUUAUUAAAAAAAAUUAUUCCAUACAUAUUAUGCGGAGUUUUUUAUACUCUACAAACGAAUUAAGAAUGUGACAUGUUGUUGGGGAUCGACCUGAUUAAGCAACAAACAAGUAAAAAAUAGCGGAAAAAAUUAAAAAAAUUGAACACAUACAAAGUUAAUGUGGAAACCCCCUCCAAAGAGGAUAAAAAACCACGGAAAAAGAUAAUUUUACUAUAAUGACAAAAGAAUGAAGAAUACAAAAGAUGAAGAUAAAAACUAUACCCCGAAACCUGAAACCAAAGCACCCUCAAAACAUAAACACAAAAUUCUUCAAAAGUGUUAUGAGUUCUAAUCUUUUAAUGGAUUUUUUUUUCUAAGGUCGUAAAAGAGCCUAUUUAUAGGCUAAAUUCGUAGAUCAAAUAAUAAUAAAAUAAUCUAGACUAAUCAGAGUUCGACUAAAACAAUUAAACAGAGUUUAACUGGGAGAUUAUCUCUCAAAUUUGACUGAAAUAUAAUGCAUACUCAACAAAUCUCUACCUUAACUCAUAUUUUCACAAAGUCCAUCACAGGCCUAUCUUGAACUAUACAAUGAAUUGACUGAGUCGAAUCUAUGCUUAGAAGCUGGAUGACUUCUAGCCUUCGACUUGUGCACUGCCAAAUCAAAACUAACCUGGGUUUGAUUCUCACAAAUACAGUGUCCUAACUUUUCAAAACCAACAUCCAAAAGAGAAUCAUUCUUCAACGAAACGGUCAUACCUUUUUCCCUCCUAUGACCAAGUUGACUUCGACUCCGUAACGAACGAGGGACAUCCGGUUUCAUCGAUCACUAUAAAACCUUCAAGAAUAUAAAGAUUGUCAGUCCUUUUAUGUUUUAACAAAAUGAGAGCCCCAUGAGACACCUUAAUGCCGCUCGACUCGAUGUUGAUUAUGCAACCUUUCGAGUCUAAAAUACUCAAGGAGAUGAGAUUCUUUCAUAAAUCAGGUACAUACCUAACAUCUGAGAGUGUCCUAAUCGUCCCAUCGUGAUCCUAAUUUUAACAGUACCAAUACUGAUUACCUUACUGGAUGAAUUGUUUCUCAUGUGCACAAAUACACCUUCAACCGAACUCUAUGUGGAAAACCAUUUUCUAUUGGGACACAUGUGGAAAAAAACAUCUUAAAUCUAGGAUCCACUUAGAUGUAAACUCAGAUCUAUCGCUCGUUGACACUAAUAAGAAAUCAUCACCAUUUUUGUCGGCCAAAUUAGCAUCAACUACAUCUUUCUCGUUACUCUCAAUUGCCCUUUUAUUUCACAGUUUAUAACAAUUUGUAACUUAACUUCUUACAAUAGCGACACCUUUUGUCUCACUUCUUUAAUGCUACCAAAACGGAAGCUUGCCUAUCUGCCUUGUUAUCCGAACCAAACUCAUUGUUGAGUUUGUUUUUACUCAACAAAUGACCCUUCACAUCUUCAAACGAAAGUUUGUCUCUACCAUAAAUUAGGGUCUCCCUGAAAGACUUGUAUGAAUAAGGUAAAGAGCACAGUAAUAGCAUAGUUUGAUCUUCAUCGUCAAUCUUAACCUCAACAUUCUUUAAAUCAUUCAAAAGACUAAUAAAUUGACUGAUGUAAUCUCUAAGAAGCUCACCUUCGUUCAUGCGAAACGUAAAUAGACGUCGUUUCAACACUAUACGGUUAGCCAAAGACUUAGUCGCAUAAAGAGUUUCUAAUCUUUUCCACAAUACAGAUGAGGUUUUCUCCAUCAAUAUCUCUUGUAAUACCCUAUUCACAAGGCACAACUAGAUUUCAGAAAGGGUCUUUUCAUCAAGCUCUUCCCAUUUUUUCUGAUCUAGAUUCUUAGGUUUUUUCCCGGUAAUGACAUUUUUCAGGUCGAUCUGACCUAGAAUUGUCAUUAUUCAAACUUGCCACAGAUUGAAAUUUGUGAUACCAUUGAACUUCUCAAUGUCAAACCUCGUUACUUCUUUCUCUGAACGAGUUGAUCUACGAAAAUUAAACUAGCUUUAAUACCACUUGUUAGGGAUCGACCCGAUUAAACAACAAAUAAGUACAAAAUAGCAGAAAAAAUUGAGAAAUUGAAUACACAUAAAUUUAACGUGAAAAACCCCCUCUAAAAAGGAUAAAAAACCACAUGCAAAGAUAAUUUUACUAUAAUAACAAAAGAACAGAGAGUACAAAAGAUGAAAAUAAAAACAAAACCUGGAAACCCGAAAAUAAAGAAUCCUCAAAACGUAAAUACAAGAUUCUCCAAAUGUGUUAUAAGUUCUAAUUUUUUAAUGGGUGUUUUUUUUUCUAAAGUUGCAAAAGAGCCUAUUUAUAGGCUAAAUUUGUAGGUCAAAUAAAAAAAAAAUAAUCUAGACUAAUCAGUAUUCGACUGAAACAAAUAAACAGAGUUUAACUAGGAGAUUAUCUCUCAAAUUUAACUAAAAUAUAAGACAUACUCAACACACGUUUUAUAAAAUAUUAUAAAAAUAUAUAUAAAUAAAUAGGACAAUUAUGAUAUUUUUAAUUAUGUUUGUGGAUUCUAAAACUUUUUAAUCUCUAUAUCAAAUAAUUACUCAAUUUUUUUUUGUUUCUUUUAUAUAUUAUACAAUAUUUUUGUGGAAAAAAAAACUUCGUUUUUGCUUUAAAAAAAAAACUUUGUUUCUCUCUCUAUCUCAAUGUUAUCAAAUGGUAUUGAAUACAUCCAUAAACGGGUUCAACAAUUUGAUGUGUAUCCAAACCACUUAAAAAAUGCAUAAAUCAGUUUUAUAUAUUGUAUUGGGUUAAUAUAUAUUUUUGAUAUAUUUAUCUGAUUUAUGUUUAUUUUAACUCAAAUACAUUUAUUUUUUCCCAUUUAAUUUUACUACAUUUGAAAAAAAAAUCCUAAAAAUAAAAAGUAGAAAUAAGAAACUAACAAAUUUAAAUCAUAUCUCAUUAUAAGUUCGUAUUAUAUAUAUUCUUUUUGAUAUAAUGCCUAGAACUACUCAUAACCCCUCUCCAACCCUUAAAUAAGAGGAUAACGCGUUUCAGCACACUCAAACUCACGUCCUUUUACACGGGCAACAAUGCCGAUGCCAAUUGAGCUAAAACUCAAUCGGCUACUAUAAUAUAAUUUUUAUCCCUUGACAAUUAGAUCUAUUUUAAUACUUAUACUUUGUUUGGUUGUUUUAGUAUUUGAACUUGACAAUUAAAUCCAUUUCGAUCCUUAAACUUGAUAUCUGUUAAGAUUUUGUUAUUUAACCAGUGUUUGUGGAACAAGACUAGAUUGGUCAAUCGGACUAAUUGGAUCGAGAACAAAUUGAUAUAUUGGACCAAACAAAGGGGUUGAAUCGAUUGAAUUAGAAACUACUCAAAAUCAAUAAAAAAUCGAAAAUUGAGACAAAAAUCAAUAGUUAAACCAAUUUAAUAAUUUUUUUAAAAUUUUUAAAUAUUUAUUUUAUUAUUGUUAGUCUAGUAGUUGAACUAAUCAAACUAAUUAAAUUAAAAAUUAGUGGUCUAACCGGUUCGAUUAUUAGAACAUUGUAUGCGACACUCAAAAAUUGACGUCAUCAACUGAAAAUUUUCUAUUUUCAAAUGAUGGUAUGACACAAUCUCAGUGUGUCACAUUAUUAAACUUUUAUAUUUUUUAAAUUUAGAGAUCAAAAUGGAUUUACCAAGUUCAAAUAUCAAAGUGAAGCAAAAAAAUAUAUAGAUACUAAAUUACACCUAAUUACCAUGUUUAGGGGCUAGUCGUUAGAACUCACUUGCUCUUUCCUUCUUCAUUAAUCCUUCUUUAAUCUUUAUCACCGUUGCUUAUAUUUUGAGUGGGAAUCUGAAAUCCCAACUCAUUCAUGCUAAAAUUGCAAACCUGAAGUUGCUUUUAUUUAUGGAAAUGUUAAAAUUCAUAAAUUACGUUAAUUCUUUUUUUGUUUCAUGAUUUUUUCUGAUAAUUUAAUUAAUUUAAUUAUCAAUUCAAUUCGUUAACAAUCUUUUAACUUAAUGAUAAAAGUACUAAAUUGUAGACAUAAAUACAUAGGUUGAAUUCCUUUUUAUCUUUAAUUAUCAAAAAAAAUUAUGGAUUAUAAAAUAAAGAUUUUUGGAAGGAACUUAAUGCUUGAAAUUAGUUAAAGAGAAUACAAUAGAGAUAAGGUAAGCAUUUUGUUAUUAGUUGGUAGCACAGAUGAGUUAUUUGUUUUUGGAAAAUACAUCGAAUGGGCCCUGCUUGUGUUUGUGAUUAUCAUUUCAAUUGGGCCUCUGUAAGGGUAACAAUUAACAGAGGGAGGGAGGGAAAUUCAUGCCCCAAGUUAAAUUGCAUUAAUUUAUUCACGCAUGCUUUUUUAUUUAAAAAAAUGGGAAUAUAUAUCUGAGGCCUUAUGUUUCAUAACAAGCAUGAUCAUCACUUGCACUGAUUAGUUACUGAUUUUUUCUUUUCCAAAAUCCAAAUGCAUUGCUUGAUAAAAAGUAAGGAUCGUUUAGUGAUUUAGAUGGAGGACUUCAAAACUUCAUAGCAAUUACAAAUAAAUCAGAUAUUUUAUCUAGUAGUAAGCCUAUGGUUUUUCACAAUUUUACGUUUAUUCUUUUUCAUGCAUCUAUACAUGUACAACUGUAGGAAGUUUAAUGUAUAUACAGUGGAAGAAGUGUAAUACAAGUUGUUUACUUCAAUCCUUAUCAUGAAAAAUCAAAAAAAUCGGCUCCGCAUUCAACAUUGCGAAUGCAAACAAUAUUAAUAUUGCAUAUUAUCAAGAUAUAAUAAUCAAACAUCACGUACAACAAAGCUUACAUUAUUAUGGUCAUAGUUCACGAGUUAUGCUACAUUGAUUAAGCAAAUGUCGAAGUAAUUAAUUUCAGCCUUUUUUUAUUUGGGGGAGGGGGGUGCAAUGUGGGUUAUUAGACUUGAAAACAGGAGGGAAAUCAUGAAGAAAUAUCAAAUUGGGAUGAACGGAGAUCAACGUUAGGUUCCAUAAGUUCAACUUGGGAUCAUAAUCAUGUCCAUUUUAAUAUGAAAAUUAUUUCAGAGUUUCAAAUCGAUUGUCUGUGGAGCUAUAUAUGCAGUAAAGAAGCCAAACAAGGUAGUGUAAGAAGACAUGCAUUUUGUUAGCCUAGAUGUUUUACUGAGCAGGAUUGAAUCUUGCAACGAAUCCGUUACGUGGAGAAUAGGAUAAAAUUAUAGAACCGGCUAAGAUAAAUAAUUAAGUGUGGUGUAGGAAAGGAACUAGGUAACUGUAAUUUUAAUUACUAGGUCAAGAACUACAUGUGGUCCUCAAAAGGCUAAGAGGUCCAUAGACAAAGCAAAAUAAUUAGCUCGACCAAAACCAGAUCAUUUUCUAGCUCCAGUUUUGUCAGAGAUAGGAAAUACACUACUAAUAUUCUAUCUCAAUAUCCAGGCCAGAUUAAUUUAUAGAAAACAGAUUCACAGUAGGGUAGAUUUUAGGGUUUCCGAAAUGAACAUUGAUCCUUUAGGGUUCCUAGCUUUUUUUUUAUACCAACAAAAGUGCAUGUAUGUUUCAAAAUAUGCAGCAUUCAAUUCAAAACUGGAAGGUCGAUGGUUUUUAUAUAAAUGAUCUCUUGUGCUGAAUUGACCAUAUGUAAAUGGAUUGGAUCCCCUCAUCAUGAAUAUUGCUGAGCAUAUCCAAAGGCCAUUGAUUGAAGGUCAUCCACCUCCUGGAAACCCCAUUGUCUGUUGUUUGUAUGCAGGUCUAAGGAAGACAUAGCAUGAGAAGCCUCCCCAAAAGUAGUAGUGGUAGUAUAGGAUGACACAUGAUCUUCUCCUGGCGAAGUGAAUGAAUUCUCGUAAUUACCUAAAGGGUUUGGAUUCAAAAACCCAUUCUCACAGUACGAGUUUGUGCUGGGAUGAUUGGGAAUGUUAGGAUUAAAUUUGAGUGCCAUGCUUGAAUUAUCUGAGUGGAACCAGCUUUGAACAUCUUGGAACUGAGAAGGAAGCUUUCCAUUAGGGUUUGCAGUAACAGAGCCAUUAACAAUGCUCUGAGAUGCUUGUUCCUUGAGAGAAGCAAGCUGCGACUGGAGAUUGACAACCUACACAAAUUCCAAACACAGGGAACUAAGCAAUGGAUUUAGAUAGAUACCUAUAUUUCAAAAAUCAAAUUAGGGUUUCAACUCAUCUAAUUACAUCAUAUCAAACAAGGUCAAAGGGGUGGUGAGAAAAACCUGCUGUUGGAGAGCAAAGAUAUGAGAAACACAACCAUAAAUGGGAUCUUGAAGCCUAGCUUUAGCUUCAUACGAAAUUGUGACUGCAGCUUCGCAGCGAUCACUGACAGGGAGGUGAGCAAGCAGCUUGGAGACAUUGCUUGCACCAAAAACCUUGUGGAUAGCUGCAAAAUGGGUUGCACCCUGUUCAUGGCAGAAAUAAGGUGCAAAAACACAGCCUCUAACACAUUUUCUUCUCAAGAACUUGCAGGCACCACAAGGGGCACCAGAACCUGUCAUUUUGAUUUAUUUUAGUGGGUAAUUUGAGAGAGGGGGGGGGGGG
RNAcentral lists this long non-coding RNA (12298 nucleotides) under Gossypium barbadense (sea-island cotton). Its description in RNAcentral is "long non-coding RNA (GBAR_LNC020636)". Lineage: Eukaryota; Viridiplantae; Streptophyta; Magnoliopsida; Malvales; Malvaceae. The record is from RNAcentral.